GACGAACGCUGGCGGCGUGCCUAAUACAUGCAAGUCGAACGAGAGCGCCCGGUGCUUGCACUGGCCAAUCUAGUGGCGAACGGGUGAGUAACACGUGGGUAACCUGCCCAUCAGAGGGGGAUAACAUCCGGAAACGGAUGCUAAAACCGCAUAGGUCUUCGAACCGCAUGGUUUGAAGAGGAAAAGAGGCGCAAGCUUCUGCUGAUGGAUGGACCCGCGGUGCAUUAGCUAGUUGGUGAGGUAACGGCUCACCAAGGCCGUGAUGCAUAGCCGACCUGAGAGGGUGAUCGGCCACAUUGGGACUGAGACACGGCCCAAACUCCUACGGGAGGCAGCAGUAGGGAAUCUUCCGCAAUGGACGCAAGUCUGACGGAGCAACGCCGCGUGAGUGAAGAAGGUUUUCGGAUCGUAAAACUCUGUUGUUAGAGAAGAACAAGUGCUAGAGUAACUGUUAGCGCCUUGACGGUAGCUAACCAGAAAGCCACGGCUAACUACGUG
This 498-nucleotide ribosomal RNA is filed under the name uncultured bacterium. RNAcentral describes it as "partial 16S ribosomal RNA". It matches the Rfam family "Bacterial small subunit ribosomal RNA", at positions 28 to 507 of the family's 1533-position model. The record is from RNAcentral.